Molecule: long non-coding RNA, 911 nt
Organism: Oreochromis niloticus (Nile tilapia)
Lineage: Eukaryota; Metazoa; Chordata; Actinopteri; Cichliformes; Cichlidae
Exons: 3
Source: RefSeq, a predicted model, not a curated record
UCUCUGAGUCUGUGUCAUCACGUGCAUGUGUUUCCUGUUUUACUUUGAAGGUCUCUGUCUUAUGUCAGCGCGUUCUGUUUACGUUUCCCCUGCCCCGUCAGCUGUUAUGUUUCCCAGGUGUGUUUCCCUCCUGUUUCCCAUCCCCUGAUUACUGGUGUGUAUUUAUAGUGUGUGUUCACCCGUCCUCGUUGCUGGUUCGUCUGUGUUGUUCACCUCGCUCUUCCUGCGUCUCUCCGUCCGUCUCUCUGUGUAUUUCCCUGUACCUCCCUGCAUCUUCGUUCAGAGCUGCCACAUUUUGGGUCCUUUCUACAAACUCCACACAUCUGCCACACCGGACGUGACAAUUUUGACCUGCCAGCAUCUUUGAAAUGAUGUCCACUGUGGCAGCAGCGGCAGAGGAGAAUGGAAAUAUUACUGCAAACCAGUAGAACAGAUAAACGGGUUCUGCAAGCUCGGAGAGAAGGUCACAUAACCGACCCCGAUUCUACCAGCUGGGACCUAUAGGAAGACGCUGAGAGGCUCGGUUAUUUGACCAAGACUGACAACUACUGGGUUAAAUACCAAUACAUUGAGCGGGAGAUCUGGCCUGGUGCAUGGUCUAAACCUAAACGGUAUAUAGGACCCCAAACAUGGUUUGUGAGGUGGGAUCAUACCAAACCACCUGCAUUAUUGGGCUGUCAAGAGGACACUGUAAAGAUAUGCAAGGUUGGAUUGAGCAUUGCCUGUCACAUUAUGAGAAUGAGUAUAAUAAAAGGUUUGGAGAAACAUGGCUAAGACACAUACCAACAGGGGCUGGAUACAGUGUCAGGAAGCGCCUGUGUGCAGGCAGGAAUAGGACCCAAAAGCAGACUCCCGAAAACAGGACAAACAGGACGUGACAAAGGACUGAGGGAGACCUAGGCCGUUUAUCA